This 253-nucleotide unclassified non-coding RNA is filed under the name Hevea brasiliensis (rubber tree). Lineage: Eukaryota; Viridiplantae; Streptophyta; Magnoliopsida; Malpighiales; Euphorbiaceae. The record is from RNAcentral.
CGGUACCUAAGAAAUCUGAGCUUCCUUCUAACUCUCAGGCUCAGUCUUCUUCCUCAGAGAGCGGCUCCGGAUCCGACACCGAUUCGGAUACUGAGUCCGGACGAAACGUCAAGCCGAUUGCUUCUAAGCCGAUGGAAGAGACUCCGAAGGCGAAAAAGCCCAGAUCCAAGCCUUCUGCUUCUGCUUCGGCUUCUGCUUCUGCUUCAGCUACGCCUGCGAGACCGUCUUUGAAGAGGCCUAGUGAGACAACAAG